AGAAUCAACGCUGGCGGCGUGCCUAACACAUGCAAGUCGAACGAGAAAGUGGAGCAAUCCAUGAGUACAGUGGCGUACGGGUGAGUAACACGUGACUAACCUACCCUCGAGUGGGGAAUAACCUCGGGAAACCGGGGCUAAUACCGCAUAACAUCUUCGGAUCAAAUGCGUAAGCAGCUUGAGGAGGGGGUCGCGGCCGAUUAGCUAGUUGGCGGGGUAAUGGCCCACCAAGGCAAUGAUCGGUAGCCGGCCUGAGAGGGCGCACGGCCACACUGGAACUGAAACACGGUCCAGACUCCUACGGGAGGCAGCAGUGGGGAAUUUUGCGCAAUGGGGGAAACCCUGACGCAGCAACGCCGCGUGGAGGAUGAAGCCCCUUGGGGUGUAAACUCCUUUCGAUCGGGACGAUAAUGACGGUACCGGAAGAAGAAGCACCGGCUAACUCUGCGCCAGCAGCCGC
Molecule: ribosomal RNA, 460 nt
Filed under: uncultured bacterium
Lineage: Bacteria
Description: SSU rRNA
Rfam family: Bacterial small subunit ribosomal RNA
Source: RNAcentral